This 251-nucleotide ribosomal RNA is filed under the name uncultured prokaryote. RNAcentral describes it as "partial 16S rRNA". It matches the Rfam family "Bacterial small subunit ribosomal RNA", at positions 525 to 775 of the family's 1533-position model. The record is from RNAcentral.
ACGGAGGGUGCAAGUGUUAAUAGGAAUAACUGGGCGUAAAGCGCACGAAGGCGGUUUGUUAAGUCAGAUGUGAAAUCCCCGGGCACAACCUGGGAACUGCAUAAGAUACUGGCAAGCUUGAGUCUCGUAGAGGGGGGUAGAAUUCCAGGUGUAGCGGUGAAAUGCGUAGAGAUCUGGAGGAAUACCGGUGGCGAAGGCGGCCCCCUGGACGAAGACUGACGCUCAGGUGCGAAAGCGUGGUGAGCAAACAG